UUGACAUCCAGAGAACUUGGCAGAGAUGCCUUGGUGCCUUCGGGACCUCUGAGACAGGUGCUGCAUGGCUGUCGUCAGCUCGUGUUGUGAAAUGUUGGGUUAACGUCCGCAACGAGCGCAACCCCUAUCCUUUGUUGCCAGCGAUUCGGUCGGGAACUCAAAGGGGACUGCCGGUGAUAAACCGGAGGAAGGUGGGAUGACGUCAAGUCAUCAUGGCCCUUACGAGUAGGGCUACACACGUGCUACAAUGGCGCAUACAAAGAGAAGCGACCUCGCGAGAGCAAGCGGACCUCAUAAAGUGCGUCGUAGUCCGGAUCGGAGUCUGCAACUCGACUCCGUGAAGUCGGAAUCGCUAGUAAUCGUAGAUCAGAAUGCUACGGUGAAUACGUUCCCGGGCCUUGUACACACCGCCCGUCACACCAUGGGAGUGGGUUGCAAAAGAAGUAGAUAGCUUAACCUUCGGGAGGGCGUUUACCACUUUGUGAUUCAUGACUGGGGUGAAGUCGUAACAAGGUAAGCGUAGCGAG
RNAcentral lists this ribosomal RNA (527 nucleotides) under uncultured bacterium. RNAcentral describes it as "bacterial SSU rRNA". It matches the Rfam family "Bacterial small subunit ribosomal RNA", at positions 981 to 1509 of the family's 1533-position model. The record is from RNAcentral.